UGAAAGCGCACAAUAAUGUCGCGCGGAACUUCUGCCCCCAACCUAGGUGGCUUGGGUAGGCGGUGGGCCCUGUCCACUUCCCAGGAGAGUGCGGGAUCGGGGACCAACGCAGCACUUAUUGCUUUUAUGUAGGCUGGAAUCUGGUCUGCUGUGGUGGAUUCCGCCACCCCCCGAAAUCUUACAUUAUUCCGGCGGGAACGAUCCUCCAUGUCCGCCAUCUUGUGCCACAGUUUAGUAUUAUCGUCUUCUAGUUUCUUUAAUUUGUCUGCCAAUUCAUUGUGUGCUGAGCACAGGUCUUCUGUC
Non-coding RNA from Pelobates cultripes (western spadefoot toad), 303 nucleotides. Lineage: Eukaryota; Metazoa; Chordata; Amphibia; Anura; Pelobatidae. The record is from the annotation of a GenBank genome assembly.